RNAcentral lists this ribosomal RNA (387 nucleotides) under uncultured bacterium. RNAcentral's name for it is "bacterial SSU rRNA". It matches the Rfam family "Bacterial small subunit ribosomal RNA", at positions 30 to 417 of the family's 1533-position model. The record is from RNAcentral.
AUUGAACGCUGGCGGCAUGCCUUACACAUGCAAGUCGAACGGCAGCGGGCCUUCGGGUGCCGGCGAGUGGCGAACGGGUGAGUAAUGCAUCGGAACGUGCCAUUGAGUGGGGGAUAACGUAGCGAAAGUUACGCUAAUACCGCAUAUUCUGUGAGCAGGAAAGCAGGGGACCGCAAGGACUUGCGCUCUUUGAGCGGCCGAUGUCAGAUUAGCUAGUUGGUGAGGUAAAGGCUUACCAAGGCGACGAUCUGUAGCGGGUCUGAGAGGAUGAUCCGCCACACUGGAACUGAGACACGGUCCAGACUCCUACGGGAGGCAGCAGUGGGGGAAUUUUGGACAAUGGGCGCAAGCCUGAUCCAGCCAUGCCGCGUGAAGUGAAGAAGGCCU